UCUACCACCUGAACAACCUGACUUUACAGCAUGAGGGAAACAAUAAAGGAGUGAAGGAAGAGAUUCUCAAGUCAGAUAGGGAAAGCGUUUUUUUGGGAUAGGAAAAGGGGCUUUCCAAUCUGAGGAACUGAAUGCUUUUUGUGGUAGAGACAGAGCAAGUGGCUGGUAAAAAAGGCCAUAAGGACAAAAAGUGGAAAUUCUGUUUAAAAAGGUGAGAAACAGAGAGGAGGUAUGUACCUAGGGAGAAAGUCUGAACUUAGGAAAGGUAAGCAAGGUUGAAGGGUAGGGAAAGUAAAGGAAAGAGAUAUGUAUAUGCUUUAGGGUUUAUUUAAAUGUUGCUCUCUAGAAAACUAAACUUUUAAAUUAAUCCUGGACUCUGAAAUUCAAUUAAAA
Molecule: non-coding RNA, 393 nt
Organism: Ceratotherium simum simum (southern white rhinoceros)
Lineage: Eukaryota; Metazoa; Chordata; Mammalia; Perissodactyla; Rhinocerotidae
Source: RefSeq, a predicted model, not a curated record